Molecule: ribozyme, 192 nt
Filed under: Anopheles gambiae (African malaria mosquito)
Lineage: Eukaryota; Metazoa; Arthropoda; Insecta; Diptera; Culicidae
Description: drz-agam-2-2 ribozyme
Rfam family: drz-agam-2-2 ribozyme
Source: Rfam by way of RNAcentral
UGCAACUUGCAUUGCACUGUGAUGGGAUCCGAAGCCCUCCGAGGGAUAAUACAGGCUCCCCCAUCCAACUCCUAUUCCAACACGUCCUCGUCGUGCAGAGUGGUAACAUGUGCCACCACAUAUCCAAGCUUGGGUACACGAGCUUGACCCAACCCCUUGGGUGGAUGGUGGCAUAUGGUGAGCCAGGAGGGG